This 815-nucleotide ribosomal RNA is filed under the name uncultured archaeon. Its description in RNAcentral is "bacterial SSU rRNA". It matches the Rfam family "Archaeal small subunit ribosomal RNA", at positions 85 to 873 of the family's 1478-position model. The record is from RNAcentral.
ACUGCUCAGUAACACGUAGUCAAUCUGCCCUUAGGACGGAGAUAACCCUGGGAAACUGGGGCUAAUAUCCGAUAGAUGAAGAUAUCUGGAAAGAUUUUCCCAUCUAAAGGUUUUUAGAUACAUGCUUCUAGAAAUGCCUAAGGAUGAGACUGCGUCCGAUCAGGCUGUUGGUGGGGUAACGGCCCACCAAACCUAUAACCGGUACGGGCCCUGAAAGGGGGAGCCCGGAGAUGGGAACUGAGACAAGGUCCCAGGCCCUACGGGGCGCAGCAGGCGCGAAACCUCCACAAUGCGCGAAAGCGUGAUGGGGUUACCCCGAGUGCUGUCCGUGAGGAUAGCUUUUCCCCAGUGUAAGGAGCUGGGGGAAUAAAGGGGGGGCAAGUCUGGUGUCAGCCGCCGCGGUAAUACCAGCCCCCUGAGUGAUAGGGACAUCUAUUUAGCCUAAAGCGUCCGUAGCCGGCUUAGCAAGUCUUUCGUUAAAUCUAACGACUUAAUCGCUAGACUGCGGAAGAUACUGCUAAGCUAGAGGGCGGGAGAGGUUGACGGUAGUCUCGGGGUAGGGGUGAAAUCCUAUAAUCCCGAGAGGACCACCAGUGGCGAAGGCGGUCAACUAGAACGCGCCUGACGGUGAGGGACGAAAGCUGGGGGAGCGAACCGGAUUAGACACCCGGGUAGUCCCAGCUGUAAACGAUGCGGGCUAAAGGGUGUUGGGAGCAGCUACGAGCUGCUCCAGUGCCCGCAGAGGAAGUUGUUAAGGCCCGCCCGCUUGGGAAGUACCGGUCGCAAGGCUGAAACUUAAAAGGAAAUUGGCGGGG